RNAcentral lists this ribosomal RNA (253 nucleotides) under uncultured bacterium. RNAcentral's name for it is "partial 16S ribosomal RNA". It matches the Rfam family "Bacterial small subunit ribosomal RNA", at positions 524 to 776 of the family's 1533-position model. The record is from RNAcentral.
UACGGGGGGGGCAAGCGUUGUUCGGAAUUACUGGGCGUAAAGGGCUCGUAGGUGGCCAACUAAGUCGGACGUGAAAUCCCUCGGCUUAACCGGGGAACUGCGUCCGAUACUGGUUGGCUUGAGUUUGGGAGAGGGAUGCAGAAUUCCCGGUGUAGUGGUGAAAUGCGUAGAGAUCGGGAGGAACACCCGUGGCGAAGGCGGCCAGCUGGGAUACACCUGACGCUGAGGCACGAAGGCGUGGGGAGCGAACGGG